Molecule: unclassified non-coding RNA, 340 nt
Filed under: uncultured Glomerales
Lineage: Eukaryota; Fungi; Glomeromycota; Glomeromycetes; Glomerales; Glomeraceae
Description: sequence contains 18S rRNA gene
Source: RNAcentral
CCCAACUAUCCCUAUUAAUCAUUACGUCAAUCCUAGAAACCAACAAAAUAGAACCAUGCCGUCCUAUUCUAUUAUUCCAUGCUAAUGUAUUCGAGCAAAAUGCCUGCUUUAAACACUCUAAUUUUUUCAAGGUAAAGGUCCUGGUUCCACAUGACACCCAAUUAAGGACAUCAUGCUUCUCCAGAAGGUGAGAAAUCAACUGCGACAGUUCAUACCCCUUAAGGCACGACCAUCACGUCAAUCCCGAAAUUCAACUACGAGCUUUUUAACUGCAACAACUUUAAUAUACGCUAUUGGAGCUGGAAUUACCGCGGCUGCUGGCACCAGACUUGCCCUCCAA